RNAcentral lists this ribosomal RNA (705 nucleotides) under Candidatus Phytoplasma pyri. Its description in RNAcentral is "bacterial SSU rRNA". It matches the Rfam family "Bacterial small subunit ribosomal RNA", at positions 130 to 828 of the family's 1533-position model. Lineage: Bacteria; Bacillati; Mycoplasmatota; Mollicutes; Acholeplasmatales; Acholeplasmataceae. The record is from RNAcentral.
CUUUCAGACGAGGAUAACAGUUGGAAACGACUGCUAAGACUGGAUAGGAAGUUUUAAGGCAUCUUGAAACUUUUAAAAGACCCGCAAGGGUAUGCUGAGAGAUGGGCUUGCGGCACAUUAGUUAGUUGGUAAGGUAACGGCUUACCAAGACCAUGAUGUGUAGCUGGACUGAGAGGUUGAACGGCCACAUUGGGACUGAGAUACGGCCCAAACUCCUACGGGAGGCAGCAGUAAGGAAUUUUCGGCAAUGGAGGAAACUCUGACCGAGCAACGCCGCGUGAACGAUGAAGUAUUUAGGUAUGUAAAGUUCUUUUAUUAAAGAAGAAAAAAUGAUGGAAAAAUCAUUCUGACGGUAUUUAAUGAAUAAGCCCCGGCUAACUAUGUGCCAGCAGCUGCGGUAAUACAUGGGGGGCAAGCGUUAUCCGGAUUUAUUGGGCGUAAAGGGUGCGUAGGCGGUUUAAUAAGUCUAUGGUCUAAGUUCAACGCUUAACGUUGUGAUGCUAUAGAAACUGUUUGACUAGAGUUGGAUAGAGGCAAGUGGAAUUCCAUGUGUAGCGGUAAAAUGCGUAAAGAUAUGGAGGAACACCAGUAGCGAAGGCGGCUUGCUGGGUCUUAACUGACGCUGAGGCACGAAAGCGUGGGGAGCAAACAGGAUUAGAUACCCUGGUAGUCCACGCCGUAAACGAUGAGUACUAAGUGUUGGGU